Molecule: ribosomal RNA, 495 nt
Filed under: uncultured bacterium
Lineage: Bacteria
Description: partial 16S ribosomal RNA
Rfam family: Bacterial small subunit ribosomal RNA
Source: RNAcentral
GACGAACGCUGGCGGCGUGCCUAAUACAUGCAAGUAGAACGCUGAAGGAGGAGCUUGCUUCUCUGGAUGAGUUGCGAACGGGUGAGUAACGCGUAGGUAACCUGCCUGGUAGCGGGGGAUAACUAUUGGAAACGAUAGCUAAUACCGCAUAAUAGUAGAUGUUGCACGACAUUUGCUUAAAAGGUGCAAUUGCAUCACUACCAGAUGGACCUGCGUUGUAUUAGCUAGUUGGUGGGGUAACGGCUCACCAAGGCGACGAUACAUAGCCGACCUGAGAGGGUGAUCGGCCACACUGGGACUGAGACACGGCCCAGACUCCUACGGGAGGCAGCAGUAGGGAAUCUUCGGCAAUGGACGGAAGUCUGACCGAGCAACGCCGCGUGAGUGAAGAAGGUUUUCGGAUCGUAAAGCUCGGUUGUAAGAGAAGAACGAGUGUGAGAGUGGAAAGUUCACACUGUGACGGUAUCUUACCAGAAAGGGACGGCUAACUACGUG